Molecule: ribosomal RNA, 253 nt
Filed under: uncultured prokaryote
Description: partial 16S ribosomal RNA
Rfam family: Bacterial small subunit ribosomal RNA
Source: RNAcentral
ACGUAGGGUGCAGGCGUUAAUCGGAAUUACUGGGCGUAAAGCGUGCGCAGGCGGUCUAUUAAGACAGGUGUGAAAUCCCCGGGCUUAACCUGGGAACUGCGCUUGUAACUGAUAGGCUUGAGUGUGGCAGAGGGUGGCGGAAUUCCCGGUGUAGCAGUGAAAUGCGUAGAGAUCGGGAGGAACAUCCGUGGCGAAGGCGGCCACCUGGGCCAACACUGACACUGAGGCACGAAAGCCAGGGGAGCAAACGGGA